CCAGCCAUGGUGACACCGGGUUACGGAGGGUUAGGGCUCGACCCCGGAGAAGGAGCUUGAGAGAUGGUUACUACAUCCAAGGAAGGCAGCAGGCGCGCAAAUUACCCAAUCCCGACCCGGGGAGGUAGUGACAAUAUAUACUGAUACAGGGCUCUUUUGGGUCUUGUAAUUGGAAUGAGUACAAUUUAAAUCCUUUAACGAGGAACAAUUGGAGGGCAAGUCUGGUGCCAGCAGCCGCGGUAAUUCCAGCUCCAAUAGCGUAUAUUAAAGUUGUUGAGGUUAAAAAGGUCGUAGUUGAACCUUGGGCCUGGCUGGCCGGUCCGCCUCACCGCGUGCACUGGUCCGGCCGGGCUUUCCCUCUGGGGAUCCGCAUGCCCUUUACUGGGUGUGCCGGGGAACCAGGACGUUUACUCUGAACAAAUCAGAUCGCUUAAAGAAGGCCUAUGCUCGAAUGUUCUAGCAUGGAAUAAUGGAAUAGGACGUGCGGUUCUAUUUUGUUGGUUUCUAGGACCGCCGUAAUGAUUAAUAGGGACAGUCGGGGGCAUCAGUAUUCAAUUGUCAGAGGUGAAAUUCUUGGAUUUAUUGAAGACUAACUACUGCGAAAGCAUUUGCCAAGGAUGUUUUCAUUAAUCAGGAACGAAAGUUAGGGGAUCGAAGACGAUCAGAUACCGUCGUAGUCUUAACCAUAAACUAUGCGGACUAGGGAUCGGACGGUGUUAUUUUUUGACCCGUUCGGCACCUUACGAAAAAUCAAAGUGUUUGGG
Molecule: ribosomal RNA, 764 nt
Filed under: Phyllachora sp.
Lineage: Eukaryota; Fungi; Ascomycota; Sordariomycetes; Phyllachorales; Phyllachoraceae
Description: SSU rRNA
Rfam family: Eukaryotic small subunit ribosomal RNA
Source: RNAcentral